Molecule: long non-coding RNA, 810 nt
Organism: Neopelma chrysocephalum (saffron-crested tyrant-manakin)
Lineage: Eukaryota; Metazoa; Chordata; Aves; Passeriformes; Pipridae
Exons: 3
Source: RefSeq, a predicted model, not a curated record
GGAGAGACGCCGCUGAGCACUUACAGGCGAGUGGGGAUUAACCCUAUUCAUUGCCUCACGUGUGAGGCAAAAUUAUUUCCCUUAUCUUAUAUAUCCCCCCACUCUACUUAAUAAACCGACCAGCAGGGUACUAAUAAAAGAAAUAGCUAUUGCUAAAGCAUGUUUUUCUUUUAGAAGAAAACAAGUUCACGAUUUUGGUUUUAUCAGAACCCAACACCCCCUUAAGGGAGUGGGGUGGGUCUAAAGUAGCUAUUAAAAUUAUGGCUUGGAAAUGAAAUCUGAUUAAAAAAGCAGCCGCCCCAUUGCUUUACAAAGGCAUUUCAUUAAAAUAGUGCUCUUUCAGGUCAUUACUUGAGCUUUGUGUGCUGCUUUACUGAAGAUAGCUACUUAAAAUAUUACAGAUAUGAAAUGGAAAACUGUCUAACUUUUCAUUAUUUAAUAUUUGAACAACAAAUACAGGCCCCUACAAGGUAAAAGAUUUGCUUGCCCCAUUGGUAAAUGAUUAUUAUUUCUGUAGCACACUAGUACAAUGUCAUUUUUAUAACUUUUUCUCUUUUACUCUACUCUCUGCUACCUGGAAACUUGAGGAACGCUCAUGGUUUUCUCCUUGUCUUCAAGGCCAUCCAGCGACCAGGUCCUUGGUGAUAGUAUUGUCAAACAGCUCAGUUGGCUUUUGAGGAGAAUCCUGCUGUGUGCAUAUUCAAGCCACCUUUUUCCACCUUUGCUGGCCUGCAGUUUUCAGGAAAGCACCCAAAAUACUGAUGGAUGCCUGACAGGACCUAUAUUCUCUCUUGCCCACGACUGAAAAGC